Molecule: unclassified non-coding RNA, 377 nt
Filed under: uncultured Alphaproteobacteria bacterium
Lineage: Bacteria; Pseudomonadati; Pseudomonadota; Alphaproteobacteria
Description: contains 16S-23S intergenic spacer region
Source: RNAcentral
UCCGGCUUGUCGCCGGCGGUCCCUCUAGAGUGCCCAACUGAAUGAUGGCAACUAAAGGCGAGGGUUGCGCUCGUUGCGGGACUUAACCCAACAUCUCACGACACGAGCUGACGACAGCCAUGCAGCACCUGUGUUCCCGUUCCCUUUCGGGCACAGCCCCAUCUCUGGGGCCUCCAGGACAUGUCAAGGGUAGGUAAGGUUCUUCGCGUUGCAUCGAAUUGAGCCACAUACUCCACCGCUUGUGCAGGCCCCCGUCAAUUUCUUUGAGUUUUAAUCUUGCGGCCGUACUCCCCAGGCGGAAUGCUUAAUGCGUUAGCUGCGCCACUGAACAGCAAGCUGCCCAACGGCUAGCAUUCAUCGUUUACGGCGUGGACUAC